RNAcentral lists this ribosomal RNA (253 nucleotides) under uncultured bacterium. Its description in RNAcentral is "partial 16S ribosomal RNA". It matches the Rfam family "Bacterial small subunit ribosomal RNA", at positions 524 to 776 of the family's 1533-position model. The record is from RNAcentral.
UACGUAGGUGGCGAGCGUUGUCCGGAUUUACUGGGCGUAAAGAGCGCGCAGGCGGUCGUUUAAGUCGGGUGUGAAAGCCCCCGGCUCAACUGGGGAGGGUCAUUCGAUACUGGUCGACUCGAAGGCAGGAGAGGGAAGUGGAAUUCCCGGUGUAGUGGUGAAAUGCGUAGAUAUCGGGAGGAACACCAGUGGCGAAGGCGACUUCCUGGCCUGUUCUUGACGCUGAGGCGCGAAAGCUAGGGGAGCAAACGGG